RNAcentral lists this long non-coding RNA (402 nucleotides) under Sus scrofa (pig). RNAcentral's name for it is "lncRNA (ENSSSCG00015014243.1)". The record is from RNAcentral. Lineage: Eukaryota; Metazoa; Chordata; Mammalia; Artiodactyla; Suidae.
AUGGGGCCCGUUCUCCACGUGCUGGGGGAUGGCGACAUGAAGCGUAUCUUCCUCCCUCAUCUGGACAGAAUGGUACAGACGGACUCUCUGGUCCUGUUUGACUUGCAUCCCCAAUCACUGCGGCCAGGAAAAAAAAAUGGUUUUUCAUGGAUUGGCCAAUUUUAGUUCCAGGGCCCAUCUCUGCAGUCAAGAGGCGGGGUGUGAUGUGGCAUGGACAGCCUAUAAAAUCGGAUUGUGAUGAUCAUGGAACAACUAUAAAUGUAGUGAAUUCAUUGAGUAAUUAAAAAAAAAAAGAGGUGGAGUCUGGAAAUUGACAGCCCCAACAGAACCCUGCAAAAGGAGGGAAGAAAGAGUCUUCAAAGGAAAUUUGAUUACUAUCACCAAGAGGAGGAGGGAAAGGGG